Equus caballus (horse) is the source of this 6690-nucleotide non-coding RNA. The record is from RefSeq and is a predicted model, not a curated record. Lineage: Eukaryota; Metazoa; Chordata; Mammalia; Perissodactyla; Equidae.
CCCGAGAUCUGGGCUGGCGAACCCAGAUCCACUGAGAAGUGGAAUGUGCGCACUUAACCACUGCGCCACCCGCUGGCCCCUGGGGGACUGAAUCUUAUAUACAUUGGAACACUGAAUUUUUAGCCCAAUACCUAGCGCAUCAUGAGAAUCCAACAAAUAUUUGCUGAAAAAAUAAACAAAUGAUGAAUGACUAUUGUUUAGGACAAGUACGAACCCUCUGACAGUUGUAAAAGAUGUUUCACAACCAUUUUAUUACUUAUCCUGUAGCAUCUCAUUGUAACAUACUGUAAUAUUUUGAAUUUCCAAAUAACAAAUAGAGGCAGUAAGAAGAGAAAGCUUUUCUGUUCUCAGGCCAGGUCACAGAGCCAAAUCAAAGAAGCAGAAAAUAAUCACACAAAACCUCCUAGUGAAUUCGGAGACGAAGUGCUGAGUCUGCCUUAGUCUGGAUAGUACCAGGAGAGUCCAUCCAGUUUCCUAUCUAAAGAAGCUUUUUUCUCUAAUGGUGGAACACUUCUAAAGGUCUACUUUUAUACUUUUCUUUACAAGCAAAACUGGUCCUUUAUAAAUGGUCCUUCUUGAAACCGGACACUUUCGUGGGCUGUUUCAGCUAUUAUAUUCAUUAAUAAGCGUUUUAAAAUUUAUACUUAUGGAGAAAAAAACCCCUCCGGAUGAUGAAACACAUGUGUUUAUAUCUUUUUCUUACCAGAACCCCAUAAGAUAAUAGCAAAAACCCAAAAGGAUGCAAAUUGGGAGAGAAGACAGUAGAAGAUUCUAGAAAUGGACAAAAUUGUUGGAAAAUGGUUAAUAUAAAGAUGAGCGGUCUAACUAAAUUAGAAAUCUUAAAUGCCUGCAGAAGGAGAUGCUGAUGAGAAGCAAGUGAUUUGCCCCAUAGAGUCACAGAAAGGCUCAGGAGUUGGACACACUAGUUCCUCCUUGAAAAUAAUUUUGAUUGGCAACUCUGGAUACUUCUGAGAGGGAGCCAGGAGCUGAAAACAAGGAAUUGGUUCAAAGAAUCCCUAAGGAGCAGUUAGACCAUACUGUCCUAUUUCCACUUCAGGUAGCCAGGAGACAACCCCUUUCCAUGUCUGGAUGAUGGGAGGUUUAUUCUCUGGAAAAUUUAAAACAGACAGUCUCCAGUACCAGGGAUGCAGAACACAGACAAUGGAAAAGAUGAGGCACUAGAAGAAAUUUCCGGGAUUGGGUCAGAGAAGAGAACAGAGACUUCAAUUAUAUCUAGAGUUAUAUUUCUAAAAAACAGUAAUGACGGGAAUAUGGAAAAAUAGUAAUAUUUGAUACUUCUUGGUAUUGUGACUCUCUGUUACAUUAAUACCUGUAUUUUCUGUUUGAAAAAUGUCAUAGUCAAAAAUUAAACAAAAACCUCUGUUGUGUCCUAAGGCAAAUGGAAUGUGGAAGAGAUUAUGAGAAACAAAAUGUUAUAACCUCUUCAUGAUAUCACCUUAGUUACGGAAAGAAUUGUUGAAAUUAACUGAGAAAGUGGUUAAAAAUGCCAUAUAUACAAUGACUAUAUUAAUAAUCUCAUUAGUAUUAAUAAUUUUAAGAUAAAUGGAUGCUAACCUUAUGACCCAACCUUCACCUCAAUGUUUUAACAGGUUUUAUUGCUGUAUUAAUAGUAAAUUAUGCAGGAGCCACUAGGUUUUUUUUUCCUCUAGACCAGACUGCAUCCAGGCAAUAACUUUUGUAAAUCCCAGGUUCAUUUUACAACCCCACCUAAAGUGUGUGCUGAAGACGUGCACACUCAUGUUAACAUUUUUCUCUCAUUAAAACAUUAAUAAGAAAGAUAAAUAUUUUUGCAGUUGCUAGAAAGAGAAGAGAUGGGCAUGCAACCCCAUAAAUGUUCACUGCACAGAAUAAUAAAAAUAAUCGUAAUGAGUUAUUGAUAAAUUAGUCACUCAUCCUUUUUUGUUCUAGAGUCAUUCACAAAUGAAUAAAAAUACAUUUACCCUUCCUUUUUCCAGGAGGUAUAGCCAAGUUUUACUAUGUUUAGAGUUCCUUUGUAACAGGAGAAAAUUCACACCUUUUUGUAGAAAUAAAAAGUUGUAAGUUGCAGGUGUAAAACUCAAAGUGACGUUGAUUUGUAGGUAUCAUUGAAAUAGCACUGUUGGAUUAUCUGCAGGGAGAUGGAGGAUGGUGCUUCCAGGGGAAGAUGCUGGUUCUGGCCUGGGAGAAAGUAGGGUUCUCCGAACCAGGCAGGAUGGAGGGGCGGUGGGUUCUGUGAGUGGCCAUGACACUCAUGCAGGGUGCCAGGGCACUGAGCAUUAAGCAUCAUGGCCAUGGGAGCUGCAGUGAAAGAGGCAGCUGCUUCUACUUCCUAAUGGGCCAUGGAGGCUAAAACAAAUCUCAUAGUGAAUCUCAGUGUUGAGCCUGUUGGUUUACUGACCAGAGGGAGGCCUCUCCCACAUUUUCUUGGAAUGCCUGGUCCCAAAUCCUGCUAUAACACCAGGAAAGUGAUGAUGCUGUAUGAAGAAAAAAGAAAUUGAAAAAAAAAGAGAGAGAUAGCUUGUGGUCCUGAAAGAGGCCUCAAAGCUAGACAUGAUUUUAUUCAAGAAGAUAAAGAAAUGAGGCUUUUUUGGUGUAUUGUGAGCAGUGCAGCAAACCAUGAUUGUUUUAAAAAUAUUACAAGACUCUGAAGCAGAUGUUCGUUUUCCUUAGGAAAGAUGGUUGACCAAGGCUCUCUAAGUUAUUAUAAUGAGGUUCAACUGAUAUUAAGGAUGAGGAUAGUGCAUAGGCAGUAAUACAAUCUGUCAAGCACUUUCAUAUUUACCCCCAGAGCCCAUUUUUGUGUGCACCUGAGGUUGGGAAGUGGGGUCAGUGGCCCCUUAAAUGGGUCUCAGUUCAACUUCCAAUUGCUUACUUCUUCUUGUAAAAGUUCCUGUUCUUUUGAAGUGCUUGCCUUUGAGCCACUCAUCCUCCUUCCACUUUUUUUCAAUUAAGACUUUGGGUCUAGUUGGACUCUUGAUUCUCUUCACUCCAAGUGCUUCCAAUAUCCUAGGGGAUGUCAGCAUCUCUUUGUUUAUUUACUCCACACCCUGGCAUAUUAGUUCUUUGAUCUGCUUAUCUCUACUGAUCUUUAUCUCCCUCCUUCUUCCCACAGAUUACAUAAAUGGACCAGCUCCAACUCUUAACAACAAAUAACAAAUUAUUGAAAAAAAUUAAUAUCUUAAAACUAUAAGCAUUUAUUAUUUCACACAGUUUCUGUGUGCCAGGAGUCCAGUAGUGUCUUAGCUGGGUGACUCCGAAUCAGGGUAUCAUGGGGUUGCGGUCAAGAUAUUGCCCACGGCUUCUCUUGUCUGAAAGCACCACUGGGUCAGGAGGAUCUGCUUUCAAGGUGGCUCACCCAUGGGCCUGGCAAGUUAGUGCUGCUGUUGGCAGGAGCCAUGUAGACUUUUUCAUAUCAUUGCUUGAGUCUCCUUACUUCAUGGCAGCUGGUUCUUCUAGAGUGAGUGACUCAAGAAAGAGUAGGGUGCAAGCCACAAUGUCUUUUAUGACCUAGCCUUGGAGGUCACAUUCCAUCUUUUCUGCAAUAUCGCUUGGUUACACAAGUCAGCACUAUUCCAUAUGGGAGGGGACUCCACAGGGGCAUGAGGACCAAUCGGCAAGAUCAUUGCAUGUUCUACCACCAAACAAGGAUCAUGGGGCAACAUAUAAAAUAGUAACUGAGAAAUCUGAUCAAGAAACAAACGAAAAAUAGAGGCAUAAAAUGAUUGUGGAAUUGUUGUAAUGAGCCACUUAUUGACCCAUCUGGUGAUCCUGAGAACAAGUGUCCUUCAAACCACCGCCAGUUUUCCUACUUCUUCCUCUUUGUAGUUUCCUUGGCUGCACAUCACGGAAUCAGUUUGCAUUUGAUAUGCCUCGCGGAGGUCCCUAGUGAGGGGAUAUCAAACUUGCACGUGGAGUGGUCGCUGCCCGAGAACUAGGGACAGCUGUAUAUCAGUUUCAGAAGCUGCUUACCAAAGAGAGCCUCAUGUGGAAGAAUGUGGCCGUCACUCCCUGGGAAAACGGAAAGGAAGGAAGAAUACGACAAAGGAGGAAACCAGCUGUUGGACCCAAGAAGGAUUUAAACUUUGAAACAACGCCAAUCAACUGAAGACAGUUGCUGUGCCACACAAAAUCCUGAGGUCUGUCCAUCGUCUCCUUCUGUUCGACCAGCAAUUUGCUCAGCUAUUGCUAUUUUGGGAAGGAAUUUCCACAGAGCUGGCAUAUCUUCAGCCCCCGAGGUUUCCUCUGAUUGACUGAUCAACAGGUGUUGAAAAAGCCUGUGGCAGAAAUAUCGCAGACCCAGUGCGCUCAUCUGACUUCUGUAACUGUGACUGUAGUUUCAUUUGAGUGUAUGGUUUCUUAACCAAGGAACCUUUCUGCCGGAGAAAAACUUAAGAGAUUAUUUACAACCUUUAUAGGUAAUCGCUUUUGCAUAGACACAGCAUAUGCAUUUGUUAAUACCAUGUUUAUUUGUAAUUUAUAAGUUGAAUAUUAUACUAAUGAUUACACAACUGAAACCUAAAUGAAUAUGAUAUAGAAUGGACUUCUCAAAGAAUGUUGUUGAUGUUAUAAUCCUAAAAAAUAUUAAACUAUCUUGACUUAAUUUUGUCUCACUGCCGUAUCGUCAGAAAAGCUGUUAGAAUAAUGGUCAUAUGAGUAUUAGAGAAAAAACAAAGAAAGAAAAGAAAAGCACAUAUAAAGUGUUAGUUUGUCAAACACUUAAGGAGUAUAAUGUUACCCUAUUUUUAUACUAAAUUUCAUUUUUUGAUUUUUUCUUUAUAAUUUAUCCACAGUGAAAGAAACACGUGCGUAUGAAUUAUUCCCAUCAUAUUCAGAGUAAAAACCAAAGUGCUUAUUUUGGUCUCUGGAGUUAUCCAUAACCUGCCUCCUCACGUUAUCUUUGUGACUUUAUAUUCCCCGACUCUCACCCUGGUCCUUCGGCUUCGGCCUCACAGACCUUUCUGCUGUUCCUUGAACCAUGGGGCUCAUUCUACUUCAGGGCUUUGCUGUCCCUCUGUCAGGCACGGUACCUCCCAAGGAACAGGAUGGGGGGACCCCUCGCUUCCCUCAGAUCUUUAGUCAAAAGUCUCUUCCUUACUGCUGCUUUCCCUGUCUAUAGCCUAUCUAAAAUGUAAUCUUUCUCUAUCAAUAUUUUAUAUUCCCUCUUCCUUGUGUAUUUUUUCUCUUACAGGUUAUCUUUAUCUAACACAGUGUUCUUUUUACUUCUUUUAUUAUUUAUAUUCCCCACUAGAAUGUAAGCUCUGAAGAACAAGGUUUUAUAUUUUGUUGUCUUUUCUAUCAUCAGUGUAUAAAAUGUGCCUGGGACAUAGUAGAUCCUCGAUAAAUACAUGUUUAGUGGAUGCCUAGAAAGGGAUGCCUAGAAAAACAUGAUGUUUGAAUGCAACUGGUUUGAUCCUACUGUUGCCACUCAACCCAAAGCUUUUAAACUUGCAUCUGCCUCAUAACUCAGGGAGGGACAUGCUAUCCAGUGCUCCAGUCAGGGUUCCCAGUAUUUCCUGAAGAGAAUAAUAAAAUAAUGAUAAUAAUAAUAAUAAUACCUGCAUCCAGUUGCUUUGUACUUGGCCUCUUUAUAAAAACUAAUUUAUUUAAUCCUUUAAAAACUCUGUGAGUUAGGUCAUAUUAUCUGCAUUUUACAGAUGAAAAAUUGAGCCUAGUUAACUAACUUAUCCACUAUAUUGAGGCUGAUAUGUGAUGGCAUUGAUAUUAGAUAGAUCAUUUGAAUCAAAAUAUUUACUUGUCACCAUGAAGCUAUGUCACCAUGAAACACCGUGAAGCUAUGGUGUUUGGGAGUCUAAAAAGAGAUGAAAUAUGAAUAGGCUGAUCUAAUCUGAAAGCAAUGAAGAAAUAUUAAUGGGCUUUAAACCAGGGAGUGACACGAUUAGGUUGACAUGUUAGGGAAAUUACAUUGGCAGUAGAGUGGAAAAUGGAACAGAGAGAACAGGCUGGAGUCAGGAAGCGAAUAGCUCAUUGCAAUAGACCAGGUGACAAAACAUGAAGCGCAUUCUAGUCAGUGGAAGAUGUGAUAGAAAAGAGAAGACAGAGUUUAGAAAUGUCAUGAGCUAGAAUUCACUGAGGGUUGAGGGAAGCGAGGAACCAACAGUGGCUUCUAGGUUUCUUAUUUGAGAAGUUAGAGAGAUGUAAUGGUGCCACUAAUCCUCAUUAGGAAAGUAGGAAGAAAAUGAGAUUUGCAAGAAAAUCGUGUAGCUAAAAUCAAGGGAGGAGGUGCCCUUUCCAAAGGAGACUGAUAUAAAACCUCAAAUAUUGCCAAGAGGUCAAUAAGUCAAGGACUAAACAGCAUUGUUUGGUUUUGGCCAUUGACAGAUCAUCACUGGUGAUGUUUGGCAGAACUGCAGAGCAGAUUCUGGGCUAAAAGUAGACCUGAUCAAUCAUCUGUAGGAAUCUGAGUGGACGAAGUAGAGAUGAUGAAUGUAUACCCCCACGAGAUACCAUACUGAAAAGGAAGAGAUGAGAUGGGGCAGGGGCUCAAUCUUAUCAUUGUUUUAAAGAUGGAAGUGACUUGAUUCUUUUAAUGGAAUGGAUGGUAAAUGCCAGUUGUAAUGGAUUCCUGUUGCUGCUGUAACAAAUUGUCACAAACUUAGUGGCUUAAAACACACAAAUUUGGGGCUGGCCCCGUGGCCGAGUGGUUGAGUUCGCGCGCUCCGCUGCAGGCGG